AAAGAUUAAGCCAUGCAUGUCUAAGUAUAAGCACUUAUACCGUGAAACUGCGAAUGGCUCAUUAAAUCAGUUAUCGUUUAUUUGAUAGUACCUUACUACAUGGAUACCUGUGGUAAUUCUAGAGCUAAUACAUGCUAAAAACCCCGACUUCGGGAGGGGUGUGUUUAUUAGAUAAAAAACCAAUGCCCUUCGGGGCUACUUGGUGAUUCAUAAUAACCUAACAGAUCGCAUGGCCUUGUGCCGGCGACGGCUCAUUCAAAUUUCUGCCCUAUCAACUUUCGAUGGUAAGGUAUUGGCUUACCACGGUUUCAACGGGUAACGGGGAAU
This 327-nucleotide ribosomal RNA is filed under the name uncultured fungus. Its description in RNAcentral is "SSU rRNA". It matches the Rfam family "Eukaryotic small subunit ribosomal RNA", at positions 39 to 370 of the family's 1831-position model. The record is from RNAcentral. Lineage: Eukaryota; Fungi.